Molecule: long non-coding RNA, 1061 nt
Organism: Puntigrus tetrazona (Sumatra barb)
Lineage: Eukaryota; Metazoa; Chordata; Actinopteri; Cypriniformes; Cyprinidae
Exons: 2
Source: RefSeq, a predicted model, not a curated record
AUUACAUUAGUGAUGAGAAGUCUUUUUAUGUGACCGGUUCAUUAAGACCACUUGAUAAAAAAAAUAACGAAAAACAAUUUGUUUCCCAAAAUGAUUCAGUUUACAUCAACACUUUAAUUACUUUGUAGUUAUUAUAAUCUGUUUCCUCUUCGGUUGAAGUCAUUGGUUUUCAUACAUUACACUUACUACUGUACUUUCUGCUGUUCAUCCUUCAAAUAUAAAUAAUACAUCUGUGUUACACAUACUGCUGAUUUAAGGUGUAUUUAUUAAAUAGAUAUGUAAUAGUAAUACGUGUUUAAUUGAGUUUGUCGUUGUUGUUUAAACAGACACUAAGAUGAAGGACAGUUCUCAGAUGAAUGGUGUUCAUGAUUUGUCGCCUGAUCAUAACGACAGUCCACUGAUGAAUGAUUGUAAAGAGAGCUCUUUUAAUCACAACGAUGCUCGAGAGAACAUUACUAAUCACAUUGAGAUCGAGCCCGAGGCUGCCAGUGAGAUUUAAUUUUUUUAUUACUUUUGAACCAAGGAAUCAUUCUUUCCAAAAUUCCAAAAUUGUAAGGUUUGCAUUUUUUUUUUUGUAUUUUAUAUUUUUGCUAUUGAAAUGCUAUUGCUAUUGAAACACAUUGACGUGUCCUUGUUAAACUUGAAGUGUUUUUACCACCGUUCCCUCAUUGUACUCAAAAAGAUGAUUAAUAGCUUUUGUUUGCGUUCGUUUAUCGUCGUGGAUAGAAGAAAUACUUUUUAUACGGCACCACUACUAUAUCUGUGAAAAGCGUUGAUGAAAUGACAACAGACUCUGUGCCUGAGUUCUAUUGCUAUUGUCCUCUCACAAAGGAAAUACUAAUAUUAUUUCAUUACAGCGCCACCUGUUGGUCAAAAGUGAUAAGCAGCUCUAACCCUAGUUAGAUCUCACCUGUCCGUAGUUUCUCUGAACCCUUCACUCUAAAAUCAGCAACAACUUGUCUAAAGUGUUCUACCACAAUCUAGAACUCAGUACUCAUACAUUGUUUACUACCUUGAUGGCACACGCACAUCAGAGACGUCAGUUUUAAAUCGGCAAGUAA